This 361-nucleotide ribosomal RNA is filed under the name uncultured bacterium. Its description in RNAcentral is "bacterial SSU rRNA". It matches the Rfam family "Bacterial small subunit ribosomal RNA", at positions 30 to 396 of the family's 1533-position model. The record is from RNAcentral.
AUUGAACGCUGGCGGCAUGCUUUACACAUGCAAGUCGAACGGUAACAGGUUAAGCUGACGAGUGGCGAACGGGUGAGUAAUGCAUCGGAACGUGCCCGGUCGUGGGGGAUAACGCAGCGAAAGCUGCGCUAAUACCGCAUACGAUCUGAGGAUGAAAGCGGGGGACCGUAAGGCCUCGCGCGAUUGGAGCGGCCGAUAUCAGAUUAGCUAGUUGGUGGGGUAAAAGGACCCACCAAGGCGACGAUCUGUAGCUGGUCUGAGAGGACGACCAGCCACACUGGAACUGAGACACGGUCCAGACUCCUACGGGAGGCAGCAGUGGGGAAUUUUGGACAAUGGGCGCAAGCCUGAUCCAGCAAUA